This 424-nucleotide ribosomal RNA is filed under the name uncultured bacterium. Its description in RNAcentral is "bacterial SSU rRNA". It matches the Rfam family "Bacterial small subunit ribosomal RNA", at positions 28 to 462 of the family's 1533-position model. The record is from RNAcentral.
GAUGAACGCUAGCGGCAGGCUUAAUACAUGCAAGUCAAGGGGUCAGCAAUGGCACCGGCGGACGGGUGAGUAACGCGUACACAACGUACCUUUAACUGGGGGAUAGCAUCUGGAAACGGGUGGUAAUACCGCAUGUGGUUGCGAGGAGGCAUCUCUUUGUAACUAAAACUUGGUGGUUAGAGAUCGGUGUGCGUCUGAUUAGCUAGUUGGUAGGGUAGAGGCCUACCAAGGCGACGAUCAGUAGGGGGCGUGAGAGCGUGAACCCCCCACACGGGUACUGAGACACGGACCCGACUCCUACGGGAGGCAGCAGUAAGGAAUAUUGGUCAAUGGAAGGGAACUCUGAACCAGCCAAUGCCGCGUGAAGGAAGAAGGCGCUACGCGUUGUAAACUUCUUUUGGGUGGACGAAAAUAAUCCAUUUAU